Molecule: long non-coding RNA, 396 nt
Filed under: Selaginella moellendorffii
Lineage: Eukaryota; Viridiplantae; Streptophyta; Lycopodiopsida; Selaginellales; Selaginellaceae
Description: long non-coding RNA (SMOE_LNC001023)
Source: RNAcentral
CGCUCCUUCCUCCUUUCUUCUUUCUCUUUUCCUUUUCUAUUUCUUUCUUUUCUCCUCCGCGUUGAUCUUGCCAAGGUAGACGCGAUCCAUCAGCACAUCGCUAAACUCUGGAAAGAAAGUUUGGAUUUUCGGUCUUUGCAGAUAAUGGAAGGGACGGCUACCUUUGCGGGCCAAGUAGCGGCGAAGCUGAUCGAUGCGGUGGACCGGCAUAUAACCCUGGCCUCGUCGAGCUACUGACGAUCGAGAAAAGCUCCCAAAUCUCCGAGAAGCUGGAUCAUCUAGGGAGAGCACAAGAUUCUUUGAUAGAUCACUAGCAAGAACAAGAUUGAAAUCUAAUGCUUAACAUACCCGGCUCCAUCGAUCGAUCUCUCUCCCUCGCGCGUUGAUCGAUCUCUC